This 280-nucleotide long non-coding RNA is filed under the name Marmota monax (woodchuck). Lineage: Eukaryota; Metazoa; Chordata; Mammalia; Rodentia; Sciuridae. The record is from RNAcentral.
AGCUAUUGUGAAUUGUGCUGCUAUAAACAUUGAUGUGGCUGUGUCCCUGUAUUAUGCUGUUUUUAAGUCCUUUGAGUAUAGACCAAGGAGAGGGAUAGCUGGGUCAAAUGGUGGUUCCAUUCCCAGAUUUCCAAGGAAUCUCCAUAAUGCUUUCCAUAUUGGCUGCACCAAUUUGCAGUCCCACCAGCAAUGUAUGAGUGUACCUUUUUCCUCACAUCCUCGCCAACACUUAUUGUUGUUUGUCUUCAUAAUAGCUGCCAUUCUGACUGGAGUGAGAUGA